This 457-nucleotide ribosomal RNA is filed under the name uncultured bacterium. RNAcentral's name for it is "partial 16S ribosomal RNA". It matches the Rfam family "Bacterial small subunit ribosomal RNA", at positions 28 to 507 of the family's 1533-position model. The record is from RNAcentral.
GGUGAACGCUGGCGGCGUGCUUAAGACAUGCAAGUCGAACGGGCUCUUCGGAGCCAGUGGCGCACGGGUGAGUAACGCGUAACUGACCUACCCCAAAGUCGCGGAUAACGAUUCGAAAGAAUCGCUAUACGUGAUGUUCUGUUAGAUCCUGUUUUGCCAGUAAAGAUUUAUUUCUUUGGGAUGGGGUUGCGUUCCCUCAGCUAGUUGGUGGGGUAAAGGCCCACUAAGGCGACGACGGAUCGCCGGCCUGAGAGGGUGGCCGGCCACAGGGGCACUGAGACACGGGUCCCACUCCUACGGGAGGCAGCAGUUAGGAAUCUUCCACAAUGGGCGAAAGCCUGAUGGAGCGACGCCGCGUGAGGGAUGAAGGUCUUCGGAUCGUAAACCUCUGAAUCAGGGACGAAAGACGCGAAAGCGGGAUGACGGGACCUGAGUAAUAGCACCGGCUAACUCCGUG